CAGGAGGGGAAAAACCCUCAGCCUGAAAACCAAACCUCCCAAAUACUUGCUGUGUUUCACGUCCCAGCAGACUUUAAUGCCACCCAGAGUCUCUGCCCUGGAGUCCUGUGGUCUUCUGACAUAGGAUGGCAACUGAGAUACAGCAGCAAAGCCCAAAGAAGGUCCCAUUAGCCUUUUCCCAAUGGAAGUAUGCUGCAAAGACAUCUACAUUUUCACUGUCCACCAGGACUCCAAGGUUUUACUGAGCACACAAGGAAUUUUGUGAAGAGCUGAAAGGAAUGUUUACAGUCAGGCAGAGUUUCGGGGAAGGAAUUAAGAGGAAAAAAGUUGCUCCUGCUGUGGCAAAGAAAAGUCAAGCAAGUCUCCAGGAAAGAAUAAUCAUACAGAAAAUGGAUUUACAGGAAAAAAUCAGGUAUUGAAGAAGAAUUCACAAAUAUUAAACAUACCUGCUGAUCUCUUCCUGGUUACUCACCACCCUUUUCUCCAGUCAAAUAGUUUUCACUGUGUAUCACUGUGUCACCAAGGGAAGGCAACGGGACUCUCCAAAACUCUGCUGGCUAAAACAACAGCCUUCCUCAGGAGCUUUUACUACCGAGUGGAAACAACAGAUGAGGAUGGACUUGUAGCUGAGAAAGUGGAGUCUAUCAAGAAGCAAAGGUCAGUCCCUAGCAAUGCCACUACUUUUCUGAUUAUUUUUUCCCAAGUUCUAGUUCAAGUGCUCAGUUGAGCAGGACAGGAAUUGCAGUAAAUCCUGGGUUUCAGCACAAGA
Long non-coding RNA from Passer domesticus (house sparrow), 769 nucleotides. RefSeq lists it as uncharacterized. The transcript is spliced from 7 exons. The record is from RefSeq and is a predicted model, not a curated record. NCBI's taxonomy places the organism in Eukaryota, Metazoa, Chordata, Aves, Passeriformes, Passeridae.